Molecule: ribosomal RNA, 460 nt
Filed under: uncultured bacterium
Lineage: Bacteria
Description: partial 16S ribosomal RNA
Rfam family: Bacterial small subunit ribosomal RNA
Source: RNAcentral
CUACGGGCCGCUGCAGUUUCGAAUAAUUCACAAUGGGCGCAAGCCUGAUGAUGCGACGUUACGUGAAGGAAGAAAGCUUUAAGUUGUAAACUUCUGUCGUUAAGGAACAAAAAAUUAAGUAGUACUUUUUAUAUUGAGUUAACUUAAAAAGGAAGCAGUGGCUAAUUUCGUGCCAGCAGCCGCGGUAAUACGGGAACUGCAAGCGUUGCUCGGUUUUAUUGGGCGUAAAGAGUACGUAGGCUGUUAUAUAUGUUAAUUGUUAAAUUUUAAAGUUAAUCUUUAAAUUUGCUGUUAAAACUAUAUAGCUAGAAUUUCAAAGAGGUAAGUGGAAUUUCAAGUGUAGCGGUGAGAUGCGUAGAUAUUUGAAGGAACACCAAUGGCGAAAGCAACUUACUGGGUGAUAAUUGACGCUAAAGUACGAAAGUAUAGGGAGCAAAAGGGAUUAGAUACCCGGGUAGUC